RNAcentral lists this ribosomal RNA (232 nucleotides) under uncultured bacterium. Its description in RNAcentral is "partial 16S ribosomal RNA". It matches the Rfam family "Bacterial small subunit ribosomal RNA", at positions 118 to 350 of the family's 1533-position model. The record is from RNAcentral.
UGGGCAACCUGCCCUCAGCUCUGGGAUAACCCCGGGAAAACCGGGGCUAAUACCGGAUACGACCUCCGCGGGCAUCUGCGGAGGUGGAAAGGUUUUCCGGCUGAGGAUGGGCCCGCGGCCUAUCAGCUAGUUGGUGGGGUGAUGGCCCACCAAGGCGACGACGGGUAGCCGGCCUGAGAGGGCGACCGGCCACACUGGGACUGAGACACGGCCCAGACUCCUACGGGAGGCA